Molecule: ribosomal RNA, 627 nt
Filed under: Hymenoplia galaica
Lineage: Eukaryota; Metazoa; Arthropoda; Insecta; Coleoptera; Scarabaeidae
Description: partial 16S ribosomal RNA
Rfam family: Bacterial large subunit ribosomal RNA
Source: RNAcentral
GUCUUUUUGAUAAUAAUAUAAAGUCUGACCUGCCCAAUGAGGAUUUAAAUGGCCGCGGUAUUUUGACCGUGCAAAGGUAGCAUAAUAAUUAGUUUUUUAAUUGAAAGCUGGAAUGAAUGGUUGGACGAGAAAAUAGCUGUCUCAGAUUAAUUUAAUUAGAAUUUUAUUUUUAAGUAAAAAAGCUUAAAUUUUUUUAAAAGACGAGAAGACCCUAUAGAGCUUUAUAUAUUUAAAAUUAAAUUUAAUUUAGUAUAAUUUAGUUUUUAUUUUUAAAUGUAUUUUAUUGGGGUGAUAAAAAAAUUAAUAAAACUUUUUUUUUAUAUUAACAUUGAUUUAUGAAUUAUUGAUCCAUUUUUUAUGAUUAAAAGAUUAAGUUACCUUAGGGAUAACAGCGUAAUUUUUUUUUAGAGUUCUUAUCGAAAAAAGAGAUUGCGACCUCGAUGUUGGAUUAAAAUUAAUAUUUGGUGUAGAAGCUAAAUAAUUGGGUCUGUUCGACCUUUGAAAUUUUACAUGAUCUGAGUUUAAACCGGUGUAAGCCAGGUUGGUUUCUAUCUUUAAAUAAUUAGAAUAUUUUAGUACGAAAGGACCAAAUAUUUAUAAAAUUUAUUGAAUUUUGAAUAAUAUUAA